RNAcentral lists this non-coding RNA (219 nucleotides) under Carboxydothermus hydrogenoformans. RNAcentral describes it as "T-box sequence". It matches the Rfam family "T-box leader". From Rfam's summary of the family: Uncharged tRNA acts as the effector for transcription antitermination of genes in the T-box leader family. Lineage: Bacteria; Bacillati; Bacillota; Clostridia; Thermoanaerobacterales; Thermoanaerobacteraceae. The record is from RNAcentral.
CGAAACGCAAUGACCGGGACUUUUAAACCAGAGGGCUUCAGACAGGGAGGAAAAGCCGCGAUUGAGAGCUUUUCUCUGAAUGCCGGUUUAAAGGAACACCCGGGAGGCGGCUUAACUGAAAGGUCUUAGUAGGUUAAGACGGUUUGGCCCCGUUACGGCCAAGAGCGGAAGGUUUCUACCUUCAAGCAGGGUGGCACCGCGGGUAAUCCCGUCCCUGGG